Molecule: ribosomal RNA, 253 nt
Filed under: uncultured bacterium
Lineage: Bacteria
Description: partial 16S ribosomal RNA
Rfam family: Bacterial small subunit ribosomal RNA
Source: RNAcentral
UACGUAGGGGGCAAGCGUUGUCCGGAUUUAUUGGGCGUAAAGAGCGUGUAGGCGGCUAGAUAGGUCCGUUGUGAAAACUCGAGGCUCAACCUCGAGACGCCGGUGGAAACCAUCUAGCUAGAGUCCGGAAGAGGCGAGUGGAAUUCCCGGUGUAGCGGUGAAAUGCGUAGAUAUCUGGAGGAACACCGGUGGCGAAGGCGGCAUCCUGGACCGAGAUUGACGCUGAGGCGCGAAAGCCAGGGGAGCAAACGGG